Molecule: long non-coding RNA, 1073 nt
Organism: Corticium candelabrum
Lineage: Eukaryota; Metazoa; Porifera; Homoscleromorpha; Homosclerophorida; Plakinidae
Exons: 3
Source: RefSeq, a predicted model, not a curated record
GCUGCUUGUUCCACUGUAGACAAUGUUUGCGCAGCUUCAAGUCCACACCUGGUUUUAGACGCCACAAUUGUCAUCGUGGGUACCGCAUAACUGUCGACAGGAACUCUUUCCAGCAUGUAUGUAACGAGUUGCAUGACCUCGAGACUUGAAACGUCACUACUGUUCCUCUACUGUUCGUCUACAAACGAGGGAAAAGCAAACUUCCUAGCUCCCCUCUUCAAUGAGGGCAGCGUGACACAUGGCAUGAAUGCUACUGGUGCAUUUAUGUCUGUUGAAAAAAGUAAGGGACGUUUCAACAGUCGUGCUUGUCUAGUACAAUAGCAACUGCAGCACGAGCAAGGGUUGUAGUGAAGUUGCCAAGUGAAAAGAAAGCACCUAUUUAUUUGGGAGGAUUCUGACUCCAAUCGGUCGUUGAAGCAAAUAACAAGCAUUCAAUGUUUACGGCAAGCAUACCCAUGGAGAAAUGUUGUAAUUCUGUGCUGAACCUAUCCAGUACAAGUGCAAUUCUCAAUACACCAAUUGUCAGCUGAAUAGUACCUGUUAUUGCAGGAAGAAUGGAUCCUUUGAACCAACAAUGAAAAGACCAACCUGAAGCAAAUUAUUCUAAUUCAGGAAACAAAAGUGAGCUCCAAUGAUUUAACAGUUCACCUUGAACAAGCUUGCAAACCAGUUGUGAGCACAUCGUACAUUAACUUGCUGCUUACAUUCAAACUCAUUCCAUGGGAAAAGUCAUUGCUAUGACAGGCAACUAAUUGUUACUCUUAGUUUCUAUGUAUUUGUGUAUCCAUAUCAGCCCUGUAUAUUACAACUGAUUGGUGUACCUAAUUCUUCUUUGAUGACUGAAAUUGAAAUUAUUGGCCAGUGAGGUCAGAGGUCUGUGGAUGUGUGCACUAUCUGGAUGUACUGUACUGUGUACUCAAGCACAAAUGACAAUGAAGCAGUCAACACAGACUUCUUUGAGCCUUCAUCAUCUGUGGAGAUGUUAGGAGGGAAAACAUUGCCCCAGAUGUCAACAGUGAUAUCUGAAUGCAAUGCACAACACCACGGUGGUUAAGACUUCUAGACUUCAGUAC